Molecule: long non-coding RNA, 102 nt
Organism: Haliotis rubra (blacklip abalone)
Lineage: Eukaryota; Metazoa; Mollusca; Gastropoda; Lepetellida; Haliotidae
Exons: 3
Source: RefSeq, a predicted model, not a curated record
CAUCCAUAGAGAAGUUAAUAGACACAAGGGUCAAUAGUGUUCAUGUGUCCACCCAUGUAGAUGAGAACCUAUGCAAAGACCAUAACUCAAAGGUCAAUGAUG